ACUACGGGUGGCAGCAGUAGGGAAUCUUUCACAAUGGGCGAAAGCCUGAUGGAGCAACGCCGCGUGCAGGAUGAAGGCCUUCGGGUUGUAAACUGCUUUUAUAAGCGAGAAAUAUGAUGGUAACUUAUGACUAAGGAUCGGCUAACUACGUGCCAGCAGCCGCGGUCAUACGUAGGAUCCGAGCAUUAUCCGGAGUGACUGGGUGUAAAGAGUUGCGUAGGUGGCAUAAUAAGUAGCUAGUGAAAUCUGGUGGCUCAACCAUUCAGACUAUUAGCUAAACUGUUAAGCUCGAGACCGGUAGGGGUAACUGGAAUUUCUAGUGUAGGAGUGAAAUCCGUAGAUAUUAGAAAGAACACCGAUAGCGUAGGCAGGUUACUGGGACGGUUCUGACACUAAGGCACGAAAGCGUAGGGAGCAAACGGGAUUAGAUACCCCGGUAGUC
This 442-nucleotide ribosomal RNA is filed under the name uncultured bacterium. RNAcentral describes it as "partial 16S ribosomal RNA". It matches the Rfam family "Bacterial small subunit ribosomal RNA", at positions 338 to 795 of the family's 1533-position model. The record is from RNAcentral.